RNAcentral lists this ribosomal RNA (506 nucleotides) under uncultured bacterium. Its description in RNAcentral is "partial 16S ribosomal RNA". It matches the Rfam family "Bacterial small subunit ribosomal RNA", at positions 28 to 523 of the family's 1533-position model. The record is from RNAcentral.
GAUGAACGCUAGCGGCAGGCCUAACACAUGCAAGUCGAGGGGUAACUAGAGUGAUAGCAAUAUUACUUUGGCUAGACCGGCGCACGGGUGCGUAACACGUAUGCAACCUACCUUAUACUGGGGAAUAACUUCGAGAAAUCGGCGCUAAUACCCCAUAACAUUGCGAAGAGGCAUCUCUUUGCAAUUAAAGCUCCGGCGGUAUAAGAUGGGCACGCGUCCAAUUAGCUAGUUGGUGAGGUAACGGCUCACCAAGGCUACGAUUGGUAGGGGUUCUGAGAGGAUAAUCCCCCACACUGGUACUGAGACACGGACCAGACUCCUACGGGAGGCAGCAGGGAGGAAUAUUGCGCAAUGGACGAAAGUCUGACGCAGCCAUGCCGCGUGCAGGAUGACGGCCCUAUGGGUUGUAAACUGCUUUUGUACGGGAAUAAACCCUUCUACGUGUAGGAGGCUGAAGGUACCGUAAGAAUAAGCACCGGCUAACUCCGUGCCAGCCGCCGCGGUAA